RNAcentral lists this ribosomal RNA (482 nucleotides) under uncultured bacterium. Its description in RNAcentral is "partial 16S ribosomal RNA". It matches the Rfam family "Bacterial small subunit ribosomal RNA", at positions 30 to 507 of the family's 1533-position model. The record is from RNAcentral.
AUUGAACGCUGGCGGCAUGCCUUACACAUGCAAGUCGAACGGUAACGGGCCUUCGGGUGCCGACGAGUGGCGAACGGGGGAGUAAUACAUCGGAACGUGCCCGAUCGUGGGGGAUAACGCGGCGGAAGCUUUGCUAAUACCGCAGACGAUCUACGGAUGAAAGCAGGGGACCGCAAGGCCUUGCGCGGACGGAGCGGCCGAUGGCAGCUUAGGUAGUUGGUGGGAUAGAAGCUUACCAAGCCGACGAUCUGUAGCUGGUCUGAGAGGAUGAUCAGCCACACUGGGACGGAGACACGGCCCAGACUCCUACGGGAGGCAGCAGUGGGGAAUUCUGGACAAUGGGCGCAAGCCUGAUCCAGCCAUGCCGCGUGCAGGAUGAAGGACUUCGGGUUGUAAACUGAUUUUGUACGGAACGAAAAGCCUUCUUUUAAUACAGGAGGGUCAUGACGGUACCGUAAGAAUAAGCACCGGCUAACUACGUG